Molecule: small RNA, 349 nt
Filed under: Drosophila ananassae
Lineage: Eukaryota; Metazoa; Arthropoda; Insecta; Diptera; Drosophilidae
Description: GF27377
Source: RNAcentral
GAAAAGGUCUAUUUCAUUUUCAAAUCUCAAGAUGUGAACAAAUUUGAAGCCCGUUGGGCAUACUAAGCUUGAAAAUCUUCAAAAACAUGUGAGGGUCGUGAGACACCUCGAGGCAACAUGGCAAACUUUUGAGACACCUUGGGACACUUCCUACUUAAGGUUAUGUGGCCACAUGGUUCGGCUCUUUGAGGCUCGGAAGUAUAGACCCUUUUUCAAGGUAUUAAAUUGAUGGGUGGCUCAUGGAUAAAACUUCAGUGAAAAUGGAACCAUAGACAGAAGGACCCCUAAUGGCAUUUACGAUUUUGUUGUCUAGUCUGGUUCAAUAAAACUUUUAUCUUUUAUACAUACA